CGGUUAACUAUGACCAGAAAACGUUUAACGUUUGAAGGCUACACUCCAGCCAUCUCUAGCCACUGUAGGUCACCACAACGUGAGCGCUCACCAAGUAGCCGUAACCUUGUUAAUGCUGAGUUAGUUACCUGAGUGGCCUGGCUGCUUUGGGCUGGGCUGUGAGGUGGUCUCUGGGUGCUGGUCUAGGCAGAGAGGCAGAGCCUGCAGUGGUGGAGUGGCUGUGGGUGUUGAGGUGGUGCCCGUGCCUGUCCAUGCCCGGGGUCCGGAGUAGAUAGCAGCUAAAAUGUUUUGCUCUGCCCUCCCAACAGACGCUGGUUGGAGGGAGCUUCAGCAAUGGACUCAGGAACAGGCAGAGCAGGCAACAGAUGGCACACAGACAGCAGAGUUGGGGACAGAUAUGCAGGGACAGACUGGCAGAGACAGGGAGUCUUAGCAAGCGUUUAAUGCCACAGCGGUGGUCCGUCACAUGAGGCGUCUCUAGCUGGGACCAUGUCAGGAGGUGCCGAGCCAGACCACCCUGCUCAGCCACUGCAGAAGUGGCUCCCAGCCAGACCACCCUGCCUAGCCCCUGUAGAAGCCAUCUGCUGCUGCCUGAGGGGGAACACACAGAGUCUCCCGUUGAGGGUGGCUACUCCCAGAGUGCGAACCAGCGGGGCAGAACGAGACUCCCUGGCCAACUGUACCUACCGCUGCCAUCCAACCAGCUGCAUCUGAUCCCCCGGCCACCUGUAGUGUGGCCAACCAAUGACUUUCCCACUUUCCAGUCUGGCCCCGAACACAGAGUUGUUGUUCCAGCGCCCCUUCACCAGAUGGGGCAGGGAUGUUAAGAACCCAGGGUGGGGAGGAGGGAAGAGGGGAUUCUAUGAUGCCAUUGCCAACAGAGGAGGUCACUUGACCUAGAUUGGGGUGAGAGUGGAGGAUGAACUGAGAGAGGAGAAGAGAAGGAGGCAAGCUUAAGGAGAGGUGUUGUACCCAGUGUAUUCCUGGGUGUUAUUAGUUUGGGAGUGGGACAGAGCUUGGACAGUGUUUUUACUCAUGCUUUUUAAAAGUGUAUGUCUGCUUUUUUUCAUCUCUGUAUUUCUGUACAUGCUGUUUUUUUCAUUGUCGUUAUCCUUCCCCCUUGACAACGUAUAGAGGAUUGAUCCACUGAUGCUACUUGCAUGAUCAGAGAACAGGCAGACAGGUCCCAAUGCAUGUUGACUGACAACAGGUGUUUUUAUAACAUAAGGAGUCUACUGCAGAACUAUGUGUAUGCGGUACCACCCAUUGUGGAAUAGUUUCUGUACAGCAGAUAUUGUAGCUAAUAGCUCACAAGAGAUGGACUUACAUGCAAAGCCAUUCCUCAAAAAACUAAGAAUAGGUGUCUGUUAACCUACAGAGGUCUCGGUUAACCCACAGUUUUACUCCCUGAUGUUUAAACCACAUUCUAACCUGAAAGUGCAAUAUUAUCCCGUUGAUAAAGACACUUUUGGGGGAGAGUUUCAGCCUGCCUUUCAACUGGUCAAAACUUAAUCCAUUUAAGUUAUUAAGAACAUGGAAGAUGUAAUGAGCUCAGCCCUCUUGCUUAAGGGCAGGGAAUAGAUGUGUGUGAAUACAAAGCCAAAUGUGGAUAUGUUUUUCACUGUGUACAUGCAACCAAUUAACAUUCCCUUUUGGAUCACCCUUCCAUGGGUCUUUUCUUAAUUCAUUUUGGGGUUGUUUUUUCAAGCAAUUUUAUGUGUACAGAGAGAACUUGAAUUAAUGAAAGUAAAUAAUAAUCCAUCAUUACAUCUGUCACUCUCGCUCUCACCAUGAGGUCACGUUAAAUUGUUGAUACCUUUAAUAACCUAUUGCACAUACAAAAGUGACAUUUUUUGUUAUUCACUUAAGACCACUCCAUUUGUUUUUGCACCACCCUAUUUUCCAAAUACUCUGUUUAAAUGUCCAUAAUUUGAAUGUAUGUAUGCGAAACAACUUGACCUGGCAACCUUUGGGGUCUAAAAUGUUGAGAUUAAGUGGCAUUGAAAAGUCUGACAUGGAAUACAUAACCUAACUUGUGAUCUGUGUAAGAGGCAAUAUAGUGAGAAAUUGUCAGUUGUAACCCAUUCGGCUUAGGUUUUCAGCCCUCUAUCAAAAUAUUAC
RNAcentral lists this long non-coding RNA (2121 nucleotides) under Salmo salar (Atlantic salmon). Its description in RNAcentral is "lncRNA (ENSSSAG00000042907.2, ENSSSAG00020071134.1, ENSSSAG00075034995.1)". Lineage: Eukaryota; Metazoa; Chordata; Actinopteri; Salmoniformes; Salmonidae. The record is from RNAcentral.